This 460-nucleotide ribosomal RNA is filed under the name uncultured bacterium. RNAcentral describes it as "partial 16S ribosomal RNA". It matches the Rfam family "Bacterial small subunit ribosomal RNA", at positions 338 to 795 of the family's 1533-position model. The record is from RNAcentral.
CCUACGGGCGGCAGCAGUGAGGAAUAUUGGUCAAUGGACGAGAGUCUGAACCAGCCAAGUAGCGUGAAGGAUGACUGCCCUAUGGGUUGUAAACUUCUUUUAUAUGGGAAUAAAAUGGUCCACGUGUGGGAUUUUGUAUGUACCAUAUGAAUAAGGAUCGGCUAACUCCGUGCCAGCAGCCGCGGUAAUACGGAGGAUCCGAGCGUUAUCCGGAUUUAUUGGGUUUAAAGGGAGCGUAGGUGGAUUGUUAAGUCAGUUGUGAAAGUUUGCGGCUCAACCGUAAAAUUGCAGUUGAUACUGGCAGUCUUGAGUACAGUUGAGGUAGGCGGAAUUCGUGGUGUAGCGGUGAAAUGCUUAGAGAUCACGAAGAACUCCGAUUGCGAAGGCAGUUCACUAGACUGCAACUGACACUGAGGCUCGAAAGUGUGGGUAUCAAACAGGAUUAGAUACCCGUGUAGUC